This 198-nucleotide ribosomal RNA is filed under the name uncultured bacterium. RNAcentral's name for it is "partial 16S ribosomal RNA". It matches the Rfam family "Bacterial small subunit ribosomal RNA", at positions 328 to 539 of the family's 1533-position model. The record is from RNAcentral.
ACGCUCGACACCUACGGGAGGCNGCAGUGGGGAAUAUUGCACAAUGGGGGAAACCCUGAUGCAGCGACGCCGCGUGGAGGAAGAAGGUCUUCGGAUUGUAAACUCCUGUUGUUGGGGAAAAAGAGGAUGGUACCCAACAAGGAAGUGACGGCUAACUACGUGCCAACAGCCGCGGUAAUCUGAGCGGGCUGGCAAGGC